RNAcentral lists this ribosomal RNA (588 nucleotides) under uncultured fungus. RNAcentral describes it as "eukaryotic LSU rRNA". The stretch from base 227 to 380 matches the Rfam family "5.8S ribosomal RNA". Lineage: Eukaryota; Fungi. The record is from RNAcentral.
UCUCCGUAGGUGAACCUGCGGAGGGAUCAUUACACAAUAACAAGGCGGGCUGGACACCCCCAGCCGGGCACUGCUUCACGGCGUGCGCGGCUGGGCCGGCCCUGCUGAAUUAUUCACCCGUGUCUUUUGCGUACUUCUUGUUUCCUGGGUGGGCUCGCCCGCCAUCAGGACCAACCACAAACCUUUUGCAAUAGCAAUCAGCGUCAGUAACAACGUAAUUAAUUACAACUUUCAACAACGGAUCUCUUGGUUCUGGCAUCGAUGAAGAACGCAGCGAAAUGCGAUACGUAGUGUGAAUUGCAGAAUUCAGUGAAUCAUCGAAUCUUUGAACGCACAUUGCGCCCUUUGGUAUUCCAAAGGGCAUGCCUGUUCGAGCGUCAUUUGUACCCUCAAGCUUUGCUUGGUGUUGGGCGUCUUUUGUCUCCAGUUCGCUGGAGACUCGCCUUAAAGUCAUUGGCAGCCGGCCUACUGGUUUCGGAGCGCAGCACAAGUCGCGCUCUUUGCCAGCCAAGGUCAGCGUCCAGCAAGCCUUUUUUUUCAACCUUUGACCUCGGAUCAGGUAGGGAUACCCGCUGAACUUAAGCAUAU